UUGAAGCAUCAUUAAUGGCUCAAGAAGACAUCAUAGAGAUAUUUAAAAAAAUAAAAAUCUUCAAUGAUUCAAGUAAACUUUACUCAACCAACAUUUUUAAAUUCUAGAAAUGUUAAAAAUACCUACAGAAGAGAAACUGCACCUCUUCUGGACUGUAGAAAUUUUGGUAGAAGAGGCAGAGGUGAACAUGCAAAUCGAGGAGGCAGAGAAAUUUUGAAUCCUUCAAAUAGACCUCAAUACCAAAUCUGUGGUAAACUAGAUCAUGUGGCAAGCUACUGUUACUUCAGAUUCGAUCAACAAUUCCAACAUGCCCAAUAAAACUCUCCCAACUCGUCAAUGCAUAAUGCUCCUCCUCCUCUAUCCUUUCAUACCCCAAUAGCAUUAAUAGCAACAUAAACCUACUGAGAAGAGAUAUUAUCUAUAUGACUUACUACAUGUUCCAUCAAUUGCACAUAAUCUUACUAUCAAGGAGGUUCUUCUUUGAAGAGCAGCUAUUAAUGACAUGUAUCGCUUUGAAGAAUUGUCAUUCCUAAAUCUGCACAAUCUGAAAGUAAUCCAAGUGUGUUUCUUGCUAAGUGUUUGUCUUUUGAUGUGUAUCAUAAAAGGUUUGGACAUCUAGCCAAGCCUAUUAUAAAACAGAUUCUUUCUCAAUAUUCUUUAUAAAUAUUGAUAUCACUAAUUUUGUAUGUAAUUCAUGUUGUUUGACAAAAUCUCAUCGAUUACCUUAUUCUCCAUUCCUUAUUGCCUACUAUUAUCCUUUAUCUUUGAUUAUAUCUGAUAUCUAGGGACCAUCUCCAGUCUCUUCUCACAAUGGUGUAAGAUAUUAUGUCUCUUUUAUUGAUGUGUACUCGAGACAUACUACUAUAUAUUUUCUUACUCAUAAAUCUCAAGUGUUUUUACUAUGUUCAAACAAUACAAAAAUUAUAUAGAAAAGUAGUUAGGUUACUCUAUUAUAGCUUUGCAAAUAGAUAAUAAAAAAGAAUAUUUAUCCAUUGCAUUUACAGCAUACCUUAAUCAAGAGAAAAUUUUUCAUCGUUUGACAUGUCCAUACACCCUUCAGUAAAAUGGUCUUGCUGAGAGAAAAAAUAGACAUAUUGUGGAAACUACAUUGGCUCUAUUAGCCACUGUCUUUCUACCACUUACUUUAUGGAACGAAAUUUUUGCUACAUCUGUAUACUUAAUUAAUCAUAUGCCUACACCUAUUUUUGGACAUAAAUUUUCUUUUGAACUGUUAUAUCAUACUAUUCCAGAUUACUCUUUUCUAAAAAAUUUUGGUUGCCUAUGUUUUUCUCAAACAAGAUCAUACAAUGCACACAAACUAGAAUACAUAUUAGAACCUUGUAUUUUUGUGGAUACUCUAUUAAUCAGAAAGGCUAUAACUAUUUAAUAAAGUCUAACAAGAUCAUUGUCUCAAGAGAUGUUAUUUUGUGAGGAAAGAAAAUUUCCCUCGUCAUCAUUUUUUAUUUCAACUACUAACAAUUCCUGAGUUAUGAUCUUGUUUUAGAUUAUUUACCCCAAAUUUCAACUAUACCCCCAUUUUGUCUUGAUCCCUAUUUAGUUGUGCAAUCAUUUCAUGUCUCAGCAGAUAACAAAUCUAGUAUUGAAGAUGCUACUUUCUUCCAUAAUUCACACCCACAAGUGAAUUCUACACCAGCAACUACGCAGUUUAUUCCCACACCAGUUCUAAAACAGAAAUCACGGUACCUCCUCUCUGGUAACAUCCUCAGAUUCUGGAACAACCUCAAACAUUCACCCAAUGUAGACAUGAUCAAAAUAAGAUUUUUAUUGGGCAUGUAAUAUUGAGACCGAAAUCAACAACUAAAUUCUGCAUAUGCUAUCGCCUUAAUCUAGUAUCCUGGAAGUGUAGCAAACAAGUCACCAUGAGUAGGAACUCUAUUGAGACAGAAUAUAGAACAUUGGCUACAGUUUUUAUGGAGCUCUUUUGGAUUCAAAAUCUUCUCAGCGAGCUCAGGCAAUUUAUAAUCUCCACUCCUACUAUAUUUUGUGAUAAUAUGUUAGUAGUAUUAUUAGCCUAUAAUCCAAUUCUACACAACCGAACCAAACACUUCAAAUUGGAUCUAAAUUGGAUCUAUGUUUUGUUCAAGAUAGUGUAAUAAAAGGAAAAAUUGCUUUACUCAUAUUCCAUCUAGUGAGCAAGUGAUUGAUGUAUUAACUAAACCCUUUUCUUUACUUCUCUUUGAUAAGUUUAAAGACAAACUUAGAUUGACAAGCAAACCACCCUGAAUUUGUAAGGAGA
Molecule: non-coding RNA, 2257 nt
Organism: Arachis ipaensis
Lineage: Eukaryota; Viridiplantae; Streptophyta; Magnoliopsida; Fabales; Fabaceae
Source: RefSeq, a predicted model, not a curated record